UCUGGAAUUCAACCAUUAAUUCAACGCAGCGUGAUCAUUCAUUUAUUUACUCAUUCUACAAGUUCGUGUCGAGAGCCAGUUGUGUGCCAGGUGCUCACACUGGUCUUGGGGACAGAGCAGUGAUCAAAACAGACACAAGUCUCCGCCCGCAUGGAUCUUACACUCUAGCUGGGAAGAGCCAGUAAACCAAUUGGUCACUCUGGCUGCUGUCUUUGGAAUAGACAGGAGACAGGACAGAAGCGAGGGGGUGAAUUAAAAGGCUAUGACAACAAUCCAGAAAGUGGAAUGUAAUAUUUCAGCUUAACUCAAUAUCCAAGACCAUCUGCCAAGGACUUCACUUUUUUCCUCUGCUGGAGGAUGUCAGUCUUUCUAGCAACUGAUUUACAGCCGGCAAUUGUUCACCUUGGGCUGAGGACUAAAGUCCAAACGAAUCUGUUGACCUCAGCUGCAGCUGCAUAGUUGAGAUUUCAGUGUGCUGCAUAGAAACUGUGAUGAAAUGAAUUCAACUUCCUGAAGAGGAGAAGAGUCUGCAGGUGGAUCUGCAACACUGGUUGCAUCUGACCUUCAGGGUUCAUUUGCACUCCCAGUCCUGCACAGAGGGGCAGUGACCAAGAACAAAGAUGAUGGAAGUGGUGUGCUGGGAGAGGGAGCAUGGCACUUUCUGCCCUCCAAGGGGUUCAGGCUGCUUGGCGUUAACAGAGAAAUGUCCAAGUUAUUUUACUUAUCAACAUUUUCAAAACAGAAAUGGAAACCUGUGUUCUGAUUGUCUUUAAUUAUGGGAACCCCUAGAAACAUAAGAGGGACAUUAAACAAUGUUACAUCAUUAAAAAUUAUGCUGGAGGCCAGCCUGGUGGUGCAGCAGUUAAGUAAGCAUGUUCCACUUCAGUGGCUCGGGGUUCGCUGGUUUGGAUCCUGGGUGCAGACAUGGCACUGCUUG
Equus quagga is the source of this 937-nucleotide long non-coding RNA. RefSeq lists it as uncharacterized. The record is from RefSeq and is a predicted model, not a curated record. The transcript has 4 exons. Lineage: Eukaryota; Metazoa; Chordata; Mammalia; Perissodactyla; Equidae.